AUUUGUCCAAAGUCAUGCAAAUCCUUUUUAAAGUCUGGACUUAAAUUGAAAGUCACUACACUGCCAUUGUCAUAGAAUUGAUAUGAUUAUCAAUCCCUGAAAAAUCAGUGAAUGGAUUCUGUAAAUGGCUGUAAGGUGAAUUUCCUAACCUUACUCUUUCUUAAUGGUCAAGUUAGCCAUUGGAAUGUUUGAGGUAGUUAGCCUUAAUACUUUCAAUUCUGAUCAUUUAACUCACUCAUUUUUUUUUUCUCUAAGGUAGAAUCACAGCAGGCAAGCAGGGGAAGUCAGAAUGACUUUCUUGUCUUCCAUCUUUCUAUCUCCUCAGUCCCUCAUAACAUUGCUGAGUUUGGUAAUAAAAGAGAAGAAAAGGUCCCAACAAAGACCACUAUAUAUGAUAGCAGUAAUCCUCAGUCUAUAACCCAAUCAUAUAUAGAGGGAAAGAUGAUCAAGAUGAUCCAUGAGCAUCAGUGUCCUUCUGCUUACCCAUAUCAAAAUGAUGAUACAUCUCAUGUCUGGGAACAUCCGAAGCCUGAAGGACAGGCAACAUCAGAGUAACUGCUCCUAUUUGAUAUGAAUAUCAACAUUAACAUGUAGCCUCUACUCUGGAUUUCUGUUGCUAAAUAAAACCUUUAAAUUCAAUUGUCUGUGGACUCUG
This 655-nucleotide long non-coding RNA is filed under the name Monodelphis domestica (gray short-tailed opossum). Its description in RNAcentral is "lncRNA (ENSMODG00000038229.1)". The record is from RNAcentral. Lineage: Eukaryota; Metazoa; Chordata; Mammalia; Didelphimorphia; Didelphidae.